This 288-nucleotide small RNA is filed under the name Nannospalax galili (Upper Galilee mountains blind mole rat). RNAcentral describes it as "Metazoan signal recognition particle RNA (ENSNGAG00000005083.1)". It matches the Rfam family "Metazoan signal recognition particle RNA", at positions 1 to 216 of the family's 299-position model. Rfam says of the family: The signal recognition particle (SRP) is a universally conserved ribonucleoprotein. It is involved in the co-translational targeting of proteins to membranes. The eukaryotic SRP consists of a 300-nucleotide 7S RNA and six proteins: SRPs 72, 68, 54, 19, 14, and 9. Lineage: Eukaryota; Metazoa; Chordata; Mammalia; Rodentia; Spalacidae. The record is from Rfam by way of RNAcentral.
GCCGGGUGUGGCACACGCCUCUAGUCCCAGCUACUCAGGAGGCUGAGGCAGGGGGAUCACUUGAGUCCAGGAGUUCUGGGCUGUAGUGCGCUAUGCCGAUUGGGUGUCUGCACUAAGUUUGGCAUCAGUAUGGUGACCUCCUGGGAGCAGAGGAUCACCAGGUUGCCUAAGGAGGGGUGAACUGGCCCAGGUCAGAAAAAGCUGGGUGACAUGGCGUGCACUGACAAUCCCAGUACUUGGGAGGUGGAGACAGGCAGAUUCCAGGGCUCUCUGGCCAGCAAGUCUAGU